This 67-nucleotide transfer RNA is filed under the name Sinotaia aeruginosa. RNAcentral describes it as "tRNA-Phe". Lineage: Eukaryota; Metazoa; Mollusca; Gastropoda; Architaenioglossa; Viviparidae. The record is from RNAcentral.
AUUUUGAUAGCUAAAGUUUAGAGCGUGGCAUUGAAGGUGCUAAAGUAACAAAAUAUGUUUCAAAAUA